GAUGAACGCUAGCGGCAGGCAUAAUACAUGCAAGACGAACGGUAAGCUUUGUAGCAAUACGGAGCCUAGAGUGUCGUACGGGUGCGUAACACGUAUGCAACCUACCUUUUACAGGAGUAUAGCUCCCCGAAAGGGGAAUUAACCCUCCAUAAUAUCAUUGGAUGGCAUCAUUUGAUGAUUAAAACUGAGGUGGUAAAAGAUGGGCAUGCGUCUGAUUAGUUAGUUGGCAGUGUAACGGACUACCAAGACGAUGAUCAGUAGGGGACCUGAGAGGGUGAUCCCCCACACUGGCACUGAGACACGGACCAGACUCCUACGGGAGGCAGCAGUAAGGAAUAUUGGUCAAUGGACGGAAGUCUGAACCAGCCAUGCCGCGUGCAGGAAGACGGCCCUACGGGUUGUAAACUGCUUUUAUUCGGGAAUAAAUCUUUCUACGUGUAGGGAGUUGAAUGUACUGAAAGAAUAAGGAUCGGCUAACUCCGUGCCAGCAGCC
RNAcentral lists this ribosomal RNA (493 nucleotides) under uncultured bacterium. RNAcentral describes it as "bacterial SSU rRNA". It matches the Rfam family "Bacterial small subunit ribosomal RNA", at positions 28 to 516 of the family's 1533-position model. The record is from RNAcentral.